This 217-nucleotide long non-coding RNA is filed under the name Canis lupus familiaris (dog). RNAcentral describes it as "lncRNA (ENSCAFG00000054821.1)". The record is from RNAcentral. Lineage: Eukaryota; Metazoa; Chordata; Mammalia; Carnivora; Canidae.
GAUAUCUAUUCAUGCCACCUCAUCCUUUGCCCUCUUUGAAGACCUUCUCCAUUCAUCUAGUACAAAAUGCCAAACCUGCUUGCUUACUAACCUGAAUGAAAAUCUACAUCGGCCUCACCAUCCCCACCCUGCAACUUUCCCUGUGGCCGACCCCCUCUGAGUGGCUGACUCCCAAGCCUGGAAGACACGAUUCUACACGAGUCAGAAACAGCCAGGU